Fundulus heteroclitus (mummichog) is the source of this 4588-nucleotide long non-coding RNA. RefSeq lists it as uncharacterized. The transcript has 2 exons. Lineage: Eukaryota; Metazoa; Chordata; Actinopteri; Cyprinodontiformes; Fundulidae. The record is from RefSeq and is a predicted model, not a curated record.
ACACACACACACACUUGUGCAUGCAUGCACGCACACACACGUCUGCUUUGAUUUUCCUGUUUGUCUCCUGUCAGAAGGCCCGGUUUUAAGGUGGGGGCUGUAAGACGCGGAGGCGUUUGGGGAAGUACAUUUGGGCUGUUCUGUGCCCCAGGGUUGGCAGUCCAGACAACUAGGUCAGACAGAAGUAAACAAAACCUAGUUUGCAUGUCAUCUGUCGACCAUCAUGUGUUUUCUUUUGUGGGAGUACAGAACUAGUCCCGCUCUGGCACAUUUUCUAUGGUAAACACUUUUUAGGUAUUUUUGUGGCAUUGCCUCUGUGGUUUUUUUUUUCUCUUCGCCGUUAGUAGUUUGAAUCUCCUUUUAUUGCUUUUGUUGCUUAAUUAGCCCAAACUAUUGAGUCAUUUUUAGCUGAAUAAAAUUCAACUAUGCAACGGCAAAUACACAAAGGACAAAUAAAUGAUUCAUUGAUUCAACUUGAGGCUUUAGUCGCCUUCUCUUUGGGCAUUGUGUGUGACCGGAUGAGCAGCUGCAGAGAUAAAUGAAGCUAUAGUUGUGAAUCAUUUUCACAGGAUGUAAAACUGUUCUUGCGACUUUUAUUCUGCUGUCUGCCAUAGGAGGAGGUGUCGGCUGGGGUUUGGCUUUUGGAUCAGUUUCGCUCUGCCGACUCUUAUUAAUAGAGUCACGUGGUUGUCAAACUGGUCGAGCGGCCAUGGAAGCGGCACCCAAACGGCAGUCAAAAAAACUAAGCAAUACAUUAUUGCAUUAUAAACACUAUAAACACUAUUCACACUAGACAAAGAGCAAACAAAACAAUACAUUUAGAAACUAAUACAAACUGAAAAUAUCUUAAACCCAUUCUAAUAAUUGCUUAAUAAUCUGUAUCGACAGAAAAAAUCUGCUCUGGCCAGUAUCGCCCCUCUUUAAUCUGCCUCUUAGUUUGAGCCAUACCGGGAACCAAUACAUUGUGUGCAAAUCCCUGAGGACUGUUUUGUCUGCGCACCUGAGCGUGACAUGCCAGGUUGAGGUCCCUCCACCGCAGGUGAAGCCACGCCCAGAAAACACACCAAUUCCAACCAAACAAAAAGGAAAACCCAAUUAGUGUCUUGUUUAAUUGUUUUUUCCUAUUAAUACAUUAAAAUGCACCCUGACAUGUAACAUUGGGUCAUUGUUACAAGGAGGUUGGCUUAUCUUCAUAUCGACUGUGGCAGCGAAAUGCAUACUUUUUUCCUGCUUUCUCUCUGGUUUUCCAGUCGCAUAUAAUGCAGUUGUUUCAGUAUGUCAUCGUCUCAUUGUAGGGAUCGACAAAGUCGGGCCUGUUCCUAGUGCGGGUAGGACUCCACCAGGGCUGUGCCUUGUCACCGGUCCUGUUUGUGGAGUUUAUAGACGGGUUCUCAGGGCGUAGCAAUAGACAGGAAGGUGUCUGGUUUGGGAGCCCCAGGGUGUUCUGUUGGCUUCUUUAAGCCGUCAUCUCCAGUUUGCACUGCCUUACAGCCUCAGAGAUGAGGUGCAGAGCUCUGUUAUCCAGUUGUAGGUCAAAGUAGAGCUGCUGCUUCUCCGCAUCAAAAGGAGUCUGAUGAGCUGGUUUGGGCAUCGGGUCAGGAUGUCCCAUGGAGGCCUCCCUUUGGGGGUUUUCUGGGCACGUCCCGCUGGGAAGAGACCCAGAACGUGCUGGAGGGACUGGGUGUCCCGUCUAGACUGGGGACACCUUGGGUCACCCAGAAUGCACUGGGAGAGGGUUGUCUGGGUUUCCCUCCUGGACCUGUUGCCCCCACGACCUGUUCCUGGAUAAGACAACGGAUGGAUGGAUGGAUCACUACUAUCGCAGUUUUGUUCAUCUGAUUAAGUCAUCCAAAAUGUAUUAUUAUUACAAGCCAAAGUUAUUGCAUUAAGAGUAUAGCGGGCAGCAUGAAUCGUUUUUUUCCCUGCGGCAUAAAUGUUAUCAACAUUAUUUUUAAUAGUAGUGAUAUUUUACAUGAUUUCAUUCGGUAACAGUCUCUCAUCCACACACAUAGCAUCAUAAGUGCAUCAUAUCCGUUUUAAAUAAAAGAUUUUGUCUUGAGACCUUGUGGUCCAGUAAGAUUACGGGGAAUCCAGUUGAAUAAAGUCCAACUACUUCAGAUUAUUCUACUUUGUAAUGUGAGAUUGGCUUUUUACUGUCUGCUAAACAUCAUACUUAUUUUUAAGGAGCUUCUAUAAGCAGGGGUUAACAAAUUGCACACAUUUGCUAAGUACCAGUUAUUAGAUUAUGUCAAAUUCUGCUGCAGCGCGAACGCACAAUGCAGAACCGAAGCAGACGUCUUCAUUAGGCGGUCACAAGCGAGCCCUUUCUUCCCUGUCUAGUCAGAGACAACUGGCAGCUGUGUCCCUUUAAUGGAAUCUGUUAACAGCUUGGACGAAGCGGAGCUCAGACACAGGCUGCAGAUUGUUGUUAAGGUGAACUCAGCUGGGUGUCUCAUGGCUUAGACCGGCCAUUCGGGGACAGCGAUUAGGCACAACAUGUAGUCCGAAGCAAAGAGCUGGGCCAACUCUGUGGUAGCUUCGCACUUUUAUUGUUGAAUUGAACUUAAAAUGAAGUUCUUCUCCUUCUUUACUUUUUAUUUUAUUGUUUUGCAAUCUGACCCGCUGGCUUUGCUCAUAAGCUGUUGGUAUUUGGAGACAAUGGCCUACAAAUUAUAGAGUUAAGCCAAAGCAAGUCUGUACAACAGGCAAAAAAAGAAUAUUGUAUGGGCACGGGAAAAUGCAUUUGGCAGAGAUGGAAAAUGCACUAUAUUGCCGAAAGUAUUCGCUCUCCCAUCCAAAUUAUCAGAAUCAGGUGUUCCAGUCACUUUCAUGGCCUCAGGUGCAUAAACUCCAGCACCAAGGCAUGCAGACGGUUUCUACAUACAGCUGUGAAAGAAACGGGUCGCUCUCAGGAGCUCAAUUGAACUCCAGCGUGAUUCUGGGAAUGCUUCAGAAUACCAAGACAACUGUUCCCAACAUUGUGGGAACAGUUUGGAGCCGGCCCCUUCCUCUUCCAGCACGACUGAGCACCAGAGCACGAAGCAAGGGUCCAUUUAGACACGGCUGAGAGUUUGGUGUGGAUGAGCUUGUCUGGCCUGCACAGAGUCCUGAUCUCAACCCAACACGACGGAGACUGAGAGCCAGGCCUUGUCGUCCAACAUCAGUGUUUGACCUCAGAAAUGUGCUUCUGGAAGAAUGCGUAAACGCAACCCAGAACCUUGUGGAAAGCCUUCGCAGAAGAGUUGAAGCUGUUCCAGCUGCAGAAGGUGGAUUGAACCCCUAUGGAUUCAGAACGGGGCGUCACUUAAGUCCACAUGCGAGUCAAGGCAGGAGAGCGAAUACUUUUGUCAAUAUAAAUGCAUCGGUAAAAAUUGAGUUGAAAUCUUAUCUAGAAAUAUAACUUUUUAGAGGUCAUUAAUUUAGAUGUCUCCUAAUGCCAAAUCUCAGAGCUUUAACCUUAACUCAUGCUACCCUGAUUCUGUUUUCCAGAAAGGAGAAACGACCACAAAGAGUAAAGCGAGAUAUUUCGCCGUACAUGACUGGAUCUAAAUCCGCUCUGGUUCCAGCAUUCAGCCAUACAGAGCUCCCCUGUUCUUCUCUAAAAACCGCUAUGCCCUUCUGUUUUCUCGUUUACACCCCAUGGAUUACACACACACACACACACACACACACACACACACACACACGUCAGGGCAAACGGACUCAAAGAUUUGCAGCGGCGACCUCUCUCUGACUCCGGUGAGCGAUGCGGUCGCUCAAAUUAGCGGAGAGGUCACUGCCACUCUGGCCUCAAACCUGCAAGAGAGUGCUUUGCUAAAGUAUUUCCACCUCCUGGACUUCUCCACAUUUUGUCUCGUUCCAGCGACAGACCAACACAAAGUACCACAUUUUAAAGACAUCUAUUCAAAUCUAUGUAGAAAUAAAAAAUCCAGACAGUGUAAUUCUCCAUCCACCCUGGAUAAAUCUCUUUCCUUUUCUUCUUUGCAAAACAGCAAGAAGGUUUGAAACCACCUUACAGGCCUGCCACGUCUACUGCAUUACAUACUAGUGUUGGAUUCCUCAUGUAUGACCCCAUUAUAAUAAUACAUUGAUGUCUGUGGUCAUAGGUUCUAGAGGUCUGAGUACUUUUACGAGGCGCUGCGGGUCCCUGUCUUUCACUCGCAGCCCUGUUUCCGUCAUCCAGCGCACACGUCCAUGCGCUCACGGAGUGGCAGCUCCGACAGCUGCAGUCCUGCUGCCUCAGGCCCGUUUCCCUGCGUAUCAGACCGCCGCCGGGGGAGGAAAACGCAGGCAGGACACGGGAUCCGUCCGCACGAAGAAAGGAAAACCAGUCGGAGAUAAAUGCAGCGAUUGGCGGCACCAGGCUUCUGUGACAAUCUGAGUUCUUAGUUGGUUGUUUGUUGUUGUUUUUUUUCACUUAAGCGAGGCUCCCAGUGGGGGGAGGGAAACGAUGCCCAGGCCUAAUUUUGGUCCCCUCUGCCAAGUCUAGCGGGUUCAGAUUCACAAGCGGCCAAAUUACUACCAGGAAGGAAAUGUUGUCUGUAGAGGUGCUCGCUGCCAACAGUAUGGAGUAUGCAGGUAAAAAAAA